This 464-nucleotide ribosomal RNA is filed under the name uncultured bacterium. RNAcentral describes it as "partial 16S ribosomal RNA". It matches the Rfam family "Bacterial small subunit ribosomal RNA", at positions 28 to 507 of the family's 1533-position model. The record is from RNAcentral.
GACGAAUGCUGGCGGCGUGCUUAACACAUGCAAGUCGAACGGAAAGGCCCUGCUUGCCGGGUACUCGAGUGGCGAACGGGUGGGUAACACGUGGGUGAUCUGCCCUACACUUCGGGAUAAGCCUGGAAAACUGGGUCUAAUACCGGAUAGGAGCCAUUUUGAGUUCGGUGGUUGGAAAGUUUUUUCGGUGUAGGAUGAGCUCGCGGCCUAUCAGCUUGUUGGUGGGGUAAUGGACUACCAAGGCGGCGACGGGUCGCCGGCCUGAGAGGGUGGACGGCCACACUGGGACUGAGAUACGGCCCAGACUCCUACGGGAGGCAACAGUGGGGAGUAUUGCACAAUGGGCGCAAGCCUGAUGCAGCGACGCCGCGUGGGGGAUGACGGCCUUCGGGUUGUAAACUCCUUUCGCUAGGGACGAAGCUUUUGUGACGGUACCUAGAUAAGAAGCACCGGCUAACUACGUG